Long non-coding RNA from Carassius auratus (goldfish), 2665 nucleotides. The record is from Ensembl. NCBI's taxonomy places the organism in Eukaryota, Metazoa, Chordata, Actinopteri, Cypriniformes, Cyprinidae.
AUUGGUAUAGCGGUCGUUCUCAUUAAACAUUUCAUUUAUGGUAUCUAGUAGAUUUUGAAGCUGGACCCUGUUGCUUUUGAACCCACAGCUAUACACUCUAAAUACUGCUGGGUUAUUUUUUAACCCAAAAUGCUGGGUUGAGUCUGUUGGGUCAUUUUGUUGGGUUAUUUUAUUUAUUUUUAAACACUUUUGGGUAGUUUCAGUUUACCAGGUGUUGGGUUAAACCUGCUGGGUUGCGUCGCUGGGUUGUUUCAGGCCAGCGCUGGGUUAUUUAAGGCGCCUUGAAGAUGUUUAAAUCGCUCCCCAACUGUCAUUUUGGAAGAACAACGGGGCAAAGACACAGCUUUCAACUGUUUUAAGAAAAGCACAUGGAUACAUUUGUGAGAGAAAAACUCGUCAAAUGCAGUCUUAUUGAGGCGUCUAAAGGUCUGAACAAACCUGGAAUUCCUUAACCGAACAGAGUCCACAAAACCCCAUCCAAUUGUUGUGGCGAUUUAAAAAUGCCAGCAGAUCUCUUAGGCAUUAUCAUAAUCAAUGGACAGGUCACCGUAGCCACGAGAUCCAGUCUGUGUCCAGAUCAGAGGGUCACUGCAGUCACCCGUAUCCAGUACGUAUCCAGACCAGAUGGUGGAUCAGCACCUAGAAAGGACCUCUACAUCCCUGAAAGACAGCGGAGACCAGGACAACUAGAGCCCCAGAUACAGAUCCCCUGUAAAUACCUUGUCUCAGAGGACCACCAGGACAAGACCACAGGAAACAGAUGAUUCUUCUGCACAAUCUGACUUUGCUGCAGCCUGGAAUUGAACUACUGGUUUCGUCUUGUCAGAGGAGAACUGACCCCCAACUGAGCCUGGUUUCUCCCAAGGUUUUUUUCUCCAUUCUGUCACCGAUGGAGUUUUGGUUCCUUGGUUUUCCUUAGUUUGAGACAAUUAAUAUCAAGCGAUAUCAUCGACUUGAUUGUACAGAGGGACGAUACAUCACUGAAUCAAUGAUGAACUGACUUCAACUGAAAACUGAGUGUUUACUUUUGUCUCUUUGCAUUAUUACACACUAUUUUCCUAUUUAAUACUGUAAAGCUGCUAUGAUGCAGUAUUUGAUUAAUAUGACAGGCUUAUUACUCAUAAUACAUGGAAAAUACAGCUGCAAAUGGACUUUGCUUUUCUAUUUGAAAUUUGGCAGUCACUGUGCAUUCAUGAAUGCAUCAAGUAAUUUUUGUUCAGUGUUUUUGUUCAAGAUUUGCAAUUGUGUUUGGAUUAUGUCACAAUUUGCCACAUGUGGAAAACACAAUUGAAAAUAUAAUUUGCAAUUCCUUUUGAAAAUUGUCCUUCCAUAGACAGGCUCUAUAGCAGACUACACUGCUCUCAGGUGUAGAUCUUUGCUUCAGAGCUUAAGUGUUUGACAAUAGUACACCCAAAAAUGAAAAUUGUUAAUUAUUCACCCUGGUCUGAAAUCUCUCGAAUAUCAUCGAAAAUAUCUUAACUUGUCUUCUGAAGAUGAACGAAGGUCUUACGGGUUUGUAACAACAUGAAGUUGAGUAAUAAAUGACAUAAUUUUCAUUUUUGGGUGAACUAUAUGUUGAACUACACUAAGCAGUGCACAUCUACCUACAUAGGAGUCUUUAUAUACUUGAUAUAAAUUUAAGGACAUCUUUAAAUUUAAAGAAUGUUAAUUGUUAAUGUCAUUUCACUGUGUAUUUAAAUAGCUAAAUAUGUCAAAAUGUAAUAGUUAAACAGCUAGACACAGGUCAUUCAGAAAAAAAAAUAUUAUUUAUUGCAACUGUAAUUCUGUGAUUUUUAUUUUAAUUAUUUAUUUUGCAUUUGCUGGAAACAAAAGAAGGGAAAAUUCCAUGUUGUUUGUCAUUGGUACAAGUUUUUGAAUGUCAGAUGGCAUUAAAAAUAUUUUUAACAGUCUAAAUAACCUGUAUUCUUCAUUAUUUAUUAAUCCAUGAUUGCUUUGUUAAGUAAAAGUGAAAUUAUGAGAAUAACCCAGCAAGAAUAACCCAGAAUAAUAAAAAUGCAAACCCACAAAUGGUAAAAAUGACUCUAUCUUGGGUUUUCUCAAUAACCCAGCAUGCUGGGUUAAAAUGUGUAAACCAGCAUGCUGGGUUACUUUAACCCAGCACGUGUUCUGUCCAAUAUUUACCCAGUGCUGGGUUGCCAAUUGGGUUAUUUUUAACCCAGCCAUUUUUAGAGUGUAGGGGCAAUGGAGACAUUUUCUCCAGUAUUUACUGUCAAUGACGUGACAGCGACCUCCACAUCUGUCAACAAGCUCCUGCAGCUGUGGACUUUUCUGAACAAAUUCUUCGAUGGUUUGACCCUCUACAUCUUCACCGUGAGUGAAUAAAACCACUGCAUGUUUAAAGGCUUCCUCACCACAAUACUUUCUUAUUUCAAUCACAAUCUCUCUUUUGUGUCUUGUGUACCUUUCAACUUUUAGAACAAGGCAUCAACGCCUGGAGCACAAUUAAUAAUGGAUCUAAUGAUCUCAGAUCUGAUGGACUCAUCAUCUCGGUCUGUGUCAAAGAGUCCAGGAGUGUCGAUAACUGUGAUCUUCUGUCCAUAAACCUUCCUCUCUCCUCUCAUAGAUCGAACUGUAACUGAAUUUGGUGAAGCAUCAGGGGUGAAAAUAUUUAUUCCAAGGAUUGUGUUUCCAGCGCUGCUUUUUC